This 450-nucleotide ribosomal RNA is filed under the name uncultured Glomeromycotina. RNAcentral's name for it is "SSU rRNA". It matches the Rfam family "Eukaryotic small subunit ribosomal RNA", at positions 569 to 1024 of the family's 1831-position model. The record is from RNAcentral. Lineage: Eukaryota; Fungi; Glomeromycota.
AGCAGCCGCGGUAAUUCCAGCUCCAAUAGCGUAUAUUAAAGUUGUUGCAGUUAAAAAGCUCGUAGUUGAAUUUCGGGAUCAAAUUGUUGGUCGUGCCUCGGUACGCACUGGUAUUAUUGGUUCCUACCUUCUGAAGAACCGCGAUGUCAUUAAUUUGGUGUCGUGGGGAAUCAGGACUGUUACUUUGAAAAAUUAGAGUGUUUAAAGCAGGCUUACGCUUGAAUACAUUAGCAUGGAAUAAUGAAAUAGGACGUUUGAUUCUAUUUUGUUGGUUUCUAGGAUUGACGUAAUGAUUAAUAGGGAUAGUUGGGGGCAUUAGUAUUCAAUUGUCAGAGGUGAAAUUCUUGGAUUUAUUGAAGACUAACUACUGCGAAAGCAUUUUGCCAAGGAUGUUUUCAUUAAUCAAGAACGAAAGUUAGGGGAUCGAAGACGAUCAGAUACCGUCGUAGU